GAGAGCACAGAUGUUGCCACUGUCAAGUAUUUGUGUGUUUGUGUACGUUACUUUAGUACAAAAGAACAAAAAAUUUUGAUUUAUUUCUUAGGAUUAAUUGACAUAGAAGAGGCUACAGCAAAAACUUUGCAUACGAAAUUAACAAAAUUCCUAACAAAUUUGGGAUUAAAAAUUUCAAAUAUGAUUGGGUUAGGCACAGAUGGUGCAAAUAAUCUCUGUGGACGACAUAAUUCUUUAUAUACCAGAUUAAAACAAGAUAAUCCUAAAAUUGAACUUAUUCGAUGCAUUUGCCAUUCGCUUGAUAAUGCAUCGUCUAAAGCGGCUAACAUGCUACCAUCAAAUUUAGAUUUUCUUUGUAGAGAAGUUUAUACAUGGUUCAGUCACAGUUCUGUUCGAAGAAUACAAUACAAAACAUUAUAUGAUAUUUUAAAUUCAGGUGAAAAAUCGUUUCACAAUUUUGUACAAUUAUGUUCAACUCGCUGGUUGUGUCGAUAUAACGUAAUAAAUGUGUUAUUAGAACAUUAUGAUGAACUAAAAACACAUUUUCAAGUUGUCGUAAAUAAAGAGAAAUGUUACACAGCUAGAACGCUUAACGAAAUGCUACAUGAUGAAACUAAUUAUUUGUAUCUGAUCAUUCUUAAACCUGUUCUUCAUGAAUUAAAUAAAACAAAUUGCAUUUUUCAGUCAAAUUAUGUUGAAAUUGGAAGCGCGAUUGAGGAUAUCAAAAGACUCAUUUUCUUUCUUGCUAAAAAAAUUUUGAAACCUUUGUUUGUUCAAAAUAUUAAUGACAUUUUAAAAAAUGCUGAUAAUGAACUUGCAUAUAAAGAAGUAAAUGAAAUAGAUUUUGGAAUUGAGUACUAUAAAUAUUAUCGUAAUGUAAAAACAUCUUUAACAAGGAAUGACAUAGAUAAUUUGGAACAACGAGCGAGUGAUUAUUUUAAAAAACUGUUACAAGAAAUAAUUCAAAGAUUGCCUCUUAAUAUUAAUCAUUUUCAAGAUAUUCAAGCACUGAGUCCGAAAGUAUGUCUUUCAAAAAUGAGACCAAAAUUUUCUGAUCUUCCUUUCAUCGAUGUAUUCAUUGAUAAAAAGGAAUUAUUUAAAGCUGAAUCCGAAUAUAAUUUAUUAACUGAUGUUGAUUGGAAUCUCUUAUAUGGAGAUAAUAUACUUAAAGAUAGUUAUCGCUUCUGGCCUGCCGUAGCACAACAUAGAAAUUCUGGAGGUUCCUUAGUUUUCAAUACAAUCGCAGAAUUUGCAUUAAAAAUAUUAUGUUUACCAAUGUCAAAUGCAACAGUUGAAAGAGUUUUCAGCAUCAUGAAUGCAACGAAAGAUAAAGUAAGAAAUAGAAUGGCGACAGAAAUGUUAAAUUCUAUCCUCAUGAUAAAAUCGCACUCUUAUACCAACAGUUAUUGUUGCAAUAAUUUUAUUUGCACUAAAGAGAUGUUUAAAAAAUUUAAUAAUUCAAUGUAUUCUAAUAUAAACGAAGCAGAAAAUGAACAAAAUAAUGAUUUUGAUAUUAUAGAGGCUGUGAAUAAUUUGAAUGAUACUGAUGUUUGUACUGAAAUUGAUUGUUUUUUAUAGAUGUUUGAAAUAUCCAAAAGUUUAUUGAAGUACAAUUUAAGCAUAAUUAUUAAAAUAAUAUAUUAAAAGACUGUUUAUUUAUAUAUUUUAAUAGAUAUUAGUAAUACUUACAUCUGAACAUGUUUGUGCAAUUUUAUUUUGUAAUUUAGUUAAGUUCUUUUUACAAAUUAUUUUUUGCUUAUAUUGGGUAUUUUGCAAUUAAAUGAUAUUGGUCUCUAUAUAGAAUUCAUUUUGUUUAAAGAAUUGUAUCUGCAUAAUUUGUAAAAAUUGCCAAUAAAAAUGUUUAUUGCAAUUUUGCAAAAGCGUUUUUAUCACUUUUAUGCCUUGGUUUGAAUAUUUCUUGAAUUUGGCGCAUGGUGGCGCAUUAGGCGUUCGAAGUUGGCGGACUAGUGCUUCUAAAACCUGGCAACCCUGCUCGUAGCUAAAUCGCGGGGAUUCUGGACUCUGGAGUCUGGACGAUUCGAUUCGUGUGCGAGCUACGGAAUUAGGUGGACGUUUGUGGCCGAGUGUUCUACUUACGCUUUAGUAUUGCAUCAUUCAACUAAGUUGAAAAGACCGGCCAAGUAUACCCCUGCACAGAAGACCAGAGCCAUCCAAACGAAAAAGAAAAAGAGAAAGGGGACGUCGACAACGACGAGGAGAAUAACGAUGGCGGAGAACAACGAGAGCAAGAAAAAGGUCAUCGAGGAUAUAAAGGAGAUGGAGUCGCUUAAAGAUGCGCCGCCGGACAAGCAGGAAAAGGACGCGGUUGCGAAGGUCGGUACUGUGACUGAGAAGAAUGUUCAGUUCCCGCUGGAUUCGCUGCUCUCGUCCAGUCUCAAUACGGAGUUAAAGGUCAUCAAGAAUGUGA
This is a long non-coding RNA of Wasmannia auropunctata (little fire ant), 2428 nucleotides long. RefSeq lists it as uncharacterized. NCBI's taxonomy places the organism in Eukaryota, Metazoa, Arthropoda, Insecta, Hymenoptera, Formicidae. The transcript is spliced from 2 exons. The record is from RefSeq and is a predicted model, not a curated record.